UUUCCGAGCAGUGUGGUCUAACCAGCCUUCACACACUGAUAUCGAAGUGCUCUAUUUGCAUUUUAUCUCAGUCCAGGGACGUUGUAAGACUGACUUUGUUUCUCUUUGUUAUAAUUGAUAACGUAAGAGAAGGGAUAGAUGAAGCUCUGAAGUCUGAAAGAAUAAUACCAAACUGAAAGGGAAGCAAAUUGUAUUUUAGAACAUCAAGAAUUUGGGAACUGGAGACGUCGUAGCUGAGCAGAUUGCGGCCCUUUCUCUUAGACACUUACAGUAAAGUUGGACAUCAAAGCCUAAUACGAGCCCAGCCCUGUGUAUGUGGCGAUCCCCUUAAACGUGAUUGGGCAGGAGCACAGGCAAUGUCCAUCCAGAAGAAUUGCUGUACCUCCGUUUUGACAUGGAUGUGAAUUGCCAGCUCUAAAACAUGCUGCACUUUUUACCAGAGACCAGUCUUGGAUCCCUUUGUAAAGGACAGACUGAACUUGGUUUACAGAGCUGAGAGAACAAGCCAGCUUGAUGUCAUCUGUUGGGUCUUCAAUUCUUUCCUUACUUAAAAUCUUCUGGCUAAAAUUUUAUUACUGAAUCCAUAAUAGUGGAUUUGAAUAAAAUUUAUAUUUAACAAA
Molecule: long non-coding RNA, 620 nt
Organism: Mastomys coucha (southern multimammate mouse)
Lineage: Eukaryota; Metazoa; Chordata; Mammalia; Rodentia; Muridae
Exons: 5
Source: RefSeq, a predicted model, not a curated record